This 462-nucleotide ribosomal RNA is filed under the name uncultured bacterium. Its description in RNAcentral is "partial 16S ribosomal RNA". It matches the Rfam family "Bacterial small subunit ribosomal RNA", at positions 28 to 507 of the family's 1533-position model. The record is from RNAcentral.
GAUGAACGCUGACAGAAUGCUUAACACAUGCGAGUCUUUGGCGAAGCUGUGCUUGCACAGCCUAGCCAAGGCGGACGGGUGAGUAACGCGUAAGGAACUUGCCCUGCAGUCAGGGAUAACAGACGGAAACGACUGAUAAGACCUGGUAAAGUCAGGCGGACUCAUGUCCAGCCUGAUGAAAAGAGAUGCUGCAGGAGAGCCUUGCGUCCUAUUAGCUUGUUGGUGGGGUAACGGCCCACCAAGGCGAUGAUAGGUAGCCGGCCUGAGAGGGUGGACGGCCACAAGGGGACUGAGAUACGGCCCUUACUCCUACGGGAGGCAGCAGUGGGGAAUAUUGGACAAUGGGGGCAACCCUGAUCCAGCAAUUCUGUGUGCACGAUGAAGGUUUUCGGAUUGUAAAGUGCUUUCAGCAGGGAAGAAAAAAUGACGGUACCUGCAGAAGAAGCGACGGCUAAAUACGUG